UUAUUGGAGAGUUUGAUCCUGGCUCAGGACGAACGCUGGCGGCGUGCCUAAUACAUGCAAGUCGAGCGAGGGUCUUCGGGCCCUAGCGGCGGACGGGUGAGUAACACGUAGGCAACCUGCCUCUCAGACCGG
RNAcentral lists this ribosomal RNA (132 nucleotides) under Brevibacillus parabrevis. RNAcentral describes it as "partial 16S ribosomal RNA". It matches the Rfam family "Bacterial small subunit ribosomal RNA", at positions 1 to 141 of the family's 1533-position model. Lineage: Bacteria; Bacillati; Bacillota; Bacilli; Caryophanales; Paenibacillaceae. The record is from RNAcentral.